GAGAGAAAACCUGUCUCCUGAGGCCAGCCAAUGAAAUUGUACUGCCAGUACAAAAACUGGCAUAUGAAAGCAAGACAAAAAGACCCUGUGGAACUUUUAACAAGCUGUUUAUACGCACUAAACAGUAGUUUCAGUUGGGACAACUUUAGAAAAAAUAAACUUCUUAAACCACCAAGACUAACAAGUCUAAGACAAUCAAGAUCCAGUUAUACUGAUUAACGAAACAAGCUACCCCAGGGAUAACAGCGCUACCUUCUCAAAGAGUCCUUAUCAACAAGAAGAUCUACGACCUCGAUGUUGGAUCGGGAUACCCAGACGGUGCAACAGCUGUCAAUGGUUCGUUUGUUCAACGAUUAAAACCCCACGUGA
RNAcentral lists this ribosomal RNA (369 nucleotides) under Trioceros goetzei. RNAcentral describes it as "partial 16S ribosomal RNA". It matches the Rfam family "Bacterial large subunit ribosomal RNA", at positions 2006 to 2603 of the family's 2925-position model. Lineage: Eukaryota; Metazoa; Chordata; Lepidosauria; Squamata; Chamaeleonidae. The record is from RNAcentral.